This 253-nucleotide ribosomal RNA is filed under the name uncultured bacterium. RNAcentral describes it as "partial 16S ribosomal RNA". It matches the Rfam family "Bacterial small subunit ribosomal RNA", at positions 524 to 776 of the family's 1533-position model. The record is from RNAcentral.
UACGUAGGGUGCAAGCGUUAAUCGGAAUUACUGGGCGUAAAGCGUGCGCAGGCGGUUUCGUAAGCCAGACGUGAAAGCCCCGGGCUUAACCUGGGAAUUGCGUUUGGGACUGCGAGGCUGGAGUGCGGCAGAGGGAGGUGGAAUUCCACAUGUAGCAGUGAAAUGCGUAGAUAUGUGGAGGAACACCGAUGGCGAAGGCAGCCUCCUGGGCUAGCACUGACGCUCAUGCACGAAAGCGUGGGGAGCAAACAGG